Molecule: ribosomal RNA, 484 nt
Filed under: uncultured bacterium
Lineage: Bacteria
Description: partial 16S ribosomal RNA
Rfam family: Bacterial small subunit ribosomal RNA
Source: RNAcentral
AUUGAACGCUGGCGGCAGGCCUAACACAUGCAAGUCGAGCGGAUGAAGGGGGCUUGCUCCUGGAUUCAGCGGCGGACGGGUGAGUAAUGCCUAGGAAUCUGCCUGGUAGUGGGGGAUAACGUCCGGAAACGGGCGCUAAUACCGCAUACGUCCUGAGGGAGAAAGUGGGGGAUCUUCGGACCUAACGCUAUAAGAUGAGCCUAGGUCGGAUUAGCUAGUUGGUGGGGUAAAGGCCUACCAAGGCGACGAUCCGUAACUGGUCUGAGAGGAUGAUCAGUCACACUGGAACUGAGACACGGUCCAGACUCCUACGGGAGGCAGCAGUGGGGAAUAUUGGACAAUGGGCGAAAGCCUGAUCCAGCCAUGCCGCGUGUGUGAAGAAGGUCUUCGGAUUGUAAAGCACUUUAAGUUGGGAGGAAGGGCAGUAAGUUAAUACCUUGCUGUUUUGACGUUACCAACAGAAUAAGCACCGGCUAACUUCGUG